UCCGCCAGUAUUGAGCAAAACGACAAUUCAAUCCAACCACCGCUAAUCUGUGAGAGAAAGGUAGGCGAGUGCGGAGCGAUCUCGUGCGUGUCUCGCUUCUUAUUGGCUCCCUUCUGACUCGCCAUCAGAUAAGCCUUUGAAGUUGUAGAACUACCUGUUGUUCGACCUCAACACGCUCGCUGUACAGAACCGAAGUGCAUUCAUGGCUUCGACGGUAUUUCACUCGCCGUGUGCUUGUAGUGCACCUUCAAUCAAGUCUUUGGAUGGCCAAAACUACGUCGGCCUUAAGCCGUCGGCUAAUUUAAGGUUCAAAUUCAGUUGUGUUAAAACAACUGUCAAGGCGCGUGAAAGUCAACGUCUAUUUAUCGUAAGAGCAGGCGAAACGCACGAUGGACAGAUUAAGAAACUUGGACUGAGUGAUGCGGAAUGCGAGGCUGCCGUCGUGGCGGGGAAUGCUCCAGAAGCGCCUCCCGUGCCACCUAAGCCCGCCGCGCCAGCUGGCACCCCGGUGGUUCCUUCGCUUCCACUUAAUCGGCGCCCUCGUCGUAACCGAAAGUCCCCUGCAUUGCGAGCAUCGUUUCAGGAAACAGAUCUCUCUCCUGCGAAUUUUGUUUAUCCAUUAUUUAUUCAUGAAGGUGAGGAAGACACACCUAUUGGAGCUAUGCCUGGAUGCUAUAGACUUGGAUGGCGACAUGGGCUUGUGGAGGAGGUAGCAAAAGCUCGGGACGUUGGUGUCAAUAGCAUUGUGCUCUUCCCCAAAGUUCCUGAUGCUUUGAAGACUCCCACAGGAGAUGAAGCAUACAAUGACAAUGGUUUAGUUCCUCGCACAAUAAGGCUUCUCAAGGACAAAUACCCUGAUCUUGUUAUUUACACUGAUGUUGCUUUAGAUCCAUAUUCCUCUGAUGGACAUGAUGGUAUUGUCCGAGAAGAUGGUGUUAUAAUGAAUGAUGAAACAGUGCAUCAAUUAUGUAAACAAGCUGUUUCCCAGGCUCGUGCUGGAGCUGAUGUUGUGAGUCCUAGUGACAUGAUGGAUGGUCGUGUAGGAGCAAUUCGGGCAGCUCUUGAUGCUGAAGGCUUUCAUCAUGUUUCCAUUAUGUCGUAUACAGCAAAGUAUGCAAGUUCCUUCUACGGUCCAUUUAGGGAGGCAUUAGACUCGAAUCCACGUUUUGGAGACAAGAAAACUUAUCAGAUGAAUCCAGCAAACUACAGAGAGGCUCUAGUAGAAGCCCGUGAAGAUGAAUCUGAAGGAGCUGACAUCCUUUUGGUGAAACCUGGUCUUCCUUAUUUGGAUAUCAUAAGGCUUCUCAGGGAUAAAUCUCCUCUGCCGAUUGCUGCAUAUCAGGUUUCUGGUGAAUACUCAAUGAUCAAGGCUGGUGGGGUUCUCAAGAUGAUCGAUGAAGAGAGGGUUAUGAUGGAAUCAUUGAUGUGCCUCCGAAGGGCUGGUGCUGACAUCAUCCUCACAUAUUUUGCUUUACAAGCUGCUAAAAGUUUAUGUGGUGAGAAGAGGUGAGAAUGGUCUGAUCAACAAGGACCGGCUGUUAGUCAUUAAAUAGUACUAGCGGCAUCUUUUUUGGUAAUUGACACUAGAAAAAGUUGGGAGUUUUGACUGAAAUAAAUUAAUAAGUCGGUUUGCGAUAUGCUGUGUCAUAAAGUUGAAGUAGAGAAUGUUAUUACAUUUUGUGUGUUUGCAGUAUUAGUUUAUGACUGAACUUCCAAAAUGAAAUAAACAUGCUAGUAAGUUUAUUCUGUUUAUUCUGCACACAACUGAAUGCAAGGUGGGAUGAAAUAUAUAUUUAGUUGUAUUAA
Pistacia vera is the source of this 1806-nucleotide RNA transcript. It is a transcript of the gene named delta-aminolevulinic acid dehydratase, chloroplastic-like, with no coding region annotated. The record is from RefSeq and is a predicted model, not a curated record. The transcript has 14 exons. NCBI's taxonomy places the organism in Eukaryota, Viridiplantae, Streptophyta, Magnoliopsida, Sapindales, Anacardiaceae.